CAGCCGCCGCGGUAAAACGGAGGGUGCAAGCGUUAAUCGGAAUUACUGGGCGUAAAGCGCACGCAGGCGGUCUGACAAGUCAGAUGUGAAAUCCCCGGGCUUAACCUGGGAACUGCAUUUGAAACUGUCAGGCUGGAGUCUUGUAGAGGGGGGUGGAAUUCCAGGUGUAGCGGUGAAAUGCGUAGAGAUCUGGAGGAAUACCGGUGGCGAAGGCGGCCCCCUGGACAAAGACUGACGCUCAGGUGCGAAAGCGUGGGGAGCAAACAGGAUUAGAUACCCCGGUAGUCCCUGUCUCUUAUAA
This 301-nucleotide ribosomal RNA is filed under the name uncultured bacterium. Its description in RNAcentral is "partial 16S ribosomal RNA". It matches the Rfam family "Bacterial small subunit ribosomal RNA", at positions 509 to 809 of the family's 1533-position model. The record is from RNAcentral.